This 460-nucleotide ribosomal RNA is filed under the name uncultured bacterium. RNAcentral's name for it is "partial 16S ribosomal RNA". It matches the Rfam family "Bacterial small subunit ribosomal RNA", at positions 338 to 795 of the family's 1533-position model. The record is from RNAcentral.
CCUACGGGUGGCAGCAGUGAGGAAUAUUGGUCAAUGGGCGCGAGCCUGAACCAGCCAAGUAGCGUGAAGGAUGAAUGCCCUCGGGUUUGUAAACUUCUUUUAUAAAGGAAUAAAGUGAGGCACGUGUGCCUUUUUGUAUGUACUUUAUGAAUAAGGAUCGGCUAACGCCGUGCCAGCAGCCGCGGUAAUACGGAGGAUCCGAGCGUUAUCCGGAUUUAUUGGGUGUAAAGGGAGCGUAGAUGGGUUGUUAAGUCAGUUGUGAAAGUUUGCGGCUCAACCGUAAAACUGCAAUUGAUACUGGCAGCCUUGAGUACAGUUGAGGUAGGCGGAAUUCGUGGUGUAGCGGUGAGAUGCUUAGAUAUCACGAAGAACUCCGAUUGCGAAGGCAGCCUACUAAACUGCCACUGACAUUGAUGCGCGAAAGUGUGGGUAGCAAACAGGAUUAGAUACCCUGGUAGUC